CCUACGGGAGGCAGCAGUGGGGAAUUUUGGACAAUGGGCGCAAGCCUGAUCCAGCAAUGCCGCGUGAGUGAAGAAGGCCUUCGGGUUGUAAAGCUCUUUUGUCAGGGAAGAAACGGUGAGAGCUAAUAUCUCUUGCUAAUGACGGUACCUGAAGAAUAAGCACCGGCUAACUACGUGCCAGCAGCCGCGGUAAUACGUAGGGUGCAAGCGUUAAUCGGAAUUACUGGGCGUAAAGCGUGCGCAGGCGGUUUUGUAAGUUUGUCGUGAAAGCCCCGGGCUCAACCUGGGAAUUGCGAUGAAGACUGCAAGGCUUGAAUCUGGCAGAGGGGGGUAGAAUUCCACGUGUAGCAGUGAAAUGCGUAGAGAUGUGGAGGAACACCGAUGGCGAAGGCAGCCCCCUGGGUCAAGAUUGACGCUCAUGCACGAAAGCGUGGGGAGCAAACAGGAUUAGAUACCCUGGUAGUCCACGCCCUAAACGAUGUCUACUAGUUGUCGGGUUUUAAUUAACUUGGUAACGCAGCUAACGCGUGAAGUAGACCGCCUGGGGAGUAACGGUCGCAAAGAUUAAAACUUNAAAAGGAAUUGACGGCGNGAGAGNGCGAGACGACACGAGGGAGGAGG
RNAcentral lists this ribosomal RNA (621 nucleotides) under uncultured bacterium. RNAcentral's name for it is "bacterial SSU rRNA". It matches the Rfam family "Bacterial small subunit ribosomal RNA", at positions 338 to 951 of the family's 1533-position model. The record is from RNAcentral.